This 1218-nucleotide long non-coding RNA is filed under the name Mytilus galloprovincialis (Mediterranean mussel). The record is from RNAcentral. Lineage: Eukaryota; Metazoa; Mollusca; Bivalvia; Mytilida; Mytilidae.
GAUUUUACCUUUAAGGGUAGUAGAAUGCACACACAGUUUAUACAUAUAUACACAUAUAAGAUAGUUCUUACACACAUAUAGUGCUACAAUAAUCACAUCAACAACAAAAACACAACUGUAUCAUAUCAUAUUAAAUUUGUAAAUAACAAAGUUUCUAUAUAUUUAAAAUAAAACAGUUGUAUUAAUUUAUAGCUAACUGUUUGAAGGCAAAAUGUAUUAGCAUUGAAAAAGGCUGACAAAUUGAUGACAAAUCUGGCAUAAGAUUUUAUAGUACACAUUUUGAGUGAUUGAGUGCAAGGAAAAAAUUAUCAAGUAUGAACUCAAACUAUUAUUAUUGUUGCAAAAUCAUAUCCGACAAAAAGCCUCCUCGUGGGGUAUUUCUUUAUUCAGCUGUUUUUAUAGUGGUUAUUUGGUUAUUUGGUUACCAGACCAAAUAUUUUAUGAUUAUUUAAUUAUUUGAUAAUCUACAACUGUAUUUUUUCUUAUCUUGUUUAGAAAAAUAAUUAAUGAUUCUGUGAUUAUAUUGUUAAAAAAAAAUGUGAUUAUAUGAUCAUUCGGACAACCCCAUGAGGGGCCUCACAAAAUCUAAUCUCUAUUGGAUAUAAUUGAAUAUAAUACAAAUGUUAAAAGGGCAAAUCAAACAGAAAGUUGUAUAGCGUUGCGCUUAAACACAAACAAACAACACAUGGUGUAGAUAACCGUACUUGGUAGAGACGCACAAUUUGAUUCGGUGUAAGUCCAUAAAUGUUUUGUGAAAUGUUCUCAAACACUUACAAAUAUUUGAUUAUAUAAUAUAACCAAACAAUUAUCACUGAUCUAUUUGGAUUCAAAAUCUGUUUUCCUGAUGAAUGAAAAAUAAUGUCAAUUGAUAGAACAGAUGCAUUAUGUCAAAACCAUUGUUUUUUUAGCAAUAACUAUAUUUACAUAAUAUGAGCGUAUCGUUGCAUUUUUGUUCAAAACCUUAUUGACGAAGAAACAUUUUUAUUUACAAGCUUACAUUUAAAGUAGCUGCACGAUUAACACCAUAGCAGCAAGCUACUGUCAAGAAUUUAGAAAUGCAUGAAGAACAAGAUUCGGUCUCUGAUUUAGUUAUUUCAUAUCUGCAUACUUUAGUAUUCAUUAGACUUAAAUUUAGAACUAAAUUAACUAUUAAGGUAUUAUUGAACAGCUUCAAGUGAUUGAUAUACCAAGUAACGAAUGAAAUGAAACUCGUAAUAA